Molecule: long non-coding RNA, 1445 nt
Organism: Oncorhynchus keta (chum salmon)
Lineage: Eukaryota; Metazoa; Chordata; Actinopteri; Salmoniformes; Salmonidae
Exons: 3
Source: RefSeq, a predicted model, not a curated record
UUUUUAUAUAUGUGUGUCAAGGUUGUUAUUGGUUCACGUUCUGAACCUUAUUGCCAAGGGUUACUUUAUUGUUAAAUACUUUUUGGGACACAUGGAGUGUAAAAUGGACAAGCCACUACUGGUUUGAUAACACUCUGGUUCCCGGAUUGCUUUAUGAAAGGAUGUCAGUGUAACUAUUGGGGCUCAGGUGAAACAGGUGAGGGGUUAACAUCUUUUGGACAAAUUGCCACAAUUUCCACCGUCUUAAUUCCCCUGUAUAAAACGCAUUGGUGUGUUUUCCUGCUCAUGCCAUGUGUUGCUCACCCAGGGCUGUUUUCUGUCCGUUUCCUGGAUCUUGGUAGCAGGUCUGUUUCCUGGAUCUUGGUAGCAGGUCUGUUUCCUGGAUCUUGGUAGCAGGUCUGUUUCCUGGAUCUUGGUAGCAGGUCUGUUUCCUGGAUCUUGGUAGCAGGUCUGUUUCCUGGAUCUUGGUAGCAGGUCUGUUUCCUGGAUCUUGGUAGCAGGUCUGUUUCCUGGAUCUUGGUAGCAGGUCUGUUUCCUGGAUCUUGGUAGCAGGUCUGUUUCCUGGAUCUUGGUAGCAGGUCUGUUUCCUGGAUCUUGGUAGCAGGUCUGUGCUCUCUUGCCAACUUCUUAUGUAAUUGUCAUGCUAAAUGAUGACCGUGGAGUAGGCAAAAGCUCAAAGACCUGGGACCGGGCUAAUAUCUUGGCGCUGAAGUGUAUGAUGACUAUGCCACCUGAUGUACGUACAGCUCUAGAUUCUUUCUCUGGUCUCCAAUGCCUGUCUAGUAUGUACAGCUCUAGAUUCUUUCUCUUGUCUCCAAUGGAUGUCUAGUAUGUACUGCUUUCUCAGCUUUGCUCGCAAGUCCAACCUCUCCAAACACCUGCUUAGACGUUAUAAACCUAAAUGAUAAUGAUGUAUAUUAACAUAACACCUUUUAUGAAACUGUUACUCUCUUCCUCUGGUCUCUCCAAUGCCUGUCUAGUAUGUACAGCUCUAGAUUCUUCCUCUGGUCUCUCCAAUGCCUGUCUAGUACGUACAGCUCUAGAUUCUUCCUCUGGUCUCAUCCAGUGCCGGGUAGAUUAUAGUUAUAAAAUAUCCCCCUCCUUGUAUACUGUCAGGUAGACCCAGCUCUAGAAUUACCCCCAAGGUGCUGUCUCUUCUUCGUUCUCCUUUAGAUACGGAUUUAGAAUCCCCAUCUAACUUCCUGUUUCUCUGGGCUCUGUCAUUGGCCUUCACUGCUUCUGCUGUGAGUGGGUAUGUCCCCACUCCACAAUGUCCAUCAAUCCUGGAAACUUUAAAACUGUCUUGGAUUGGAAUAUAUAUGCAUCGAUAGCCAAUCGGCUGGCUACGGGUGAUAUAUCAUCCUUAUGAAAGAUGAGGCCUGUAGUCUUUCUGAAAUGUCUCUUUGUCUAAAGGAUAGCCUCGCUAUAGCAGCACCUAUGUAAGG